This 469-nucleotide ribosomal RNA is filed under the name uncultured bacterium. RNAcentral describes it as "partial 16S ribosomal RNA". It matches the Rfam family "Bacterial small subunit ribosomal RNA", at positions 28 to 508 of the family's 1533-position model. The record is from RNAcentral.
GACGAACGCUGGCGGCGUGCUUAACACAUGCAAGUCGAACGGAAAGGCCCUGCUUUUGUGGGGUGCUCGAGUGGCGAACGGGUGAGUAACACGUGAGUAACCUGCCCUUGACUUUGGGAUAACUUCAGGAAACUGGGGCUAAUACCGGAUAGGAGCUCCUGCUGCAUGGUGGGGGUUGGAAAGUUUCGGCGGUUGGGGAUGGACUCGCGGCUUAUCAGCUUGUUGGUGGGGUAGUGGCUUACCAAGGCUUUGACGGGUAGCCGGCCUGAGAGGGUGACCGGCCACAUUGGGACUGAGAUACGGCCCAGACUCCUACGGGAGGCAGCAGUGGGGAAGAUUGCACAAUGGGCGGAAGCCUGAUGCAGCAACGCCGCGUGCGGGAUGACGGCCUUCGGGUUGGAAACCGCGUUCGCCUGUGACGAAGCGUGAGUGACGGUAAUGGGUAAAGAAGCACCGGCUAACUACGUGC